This 116-nucleotide small nucleolar RNA is filed under the name Nannospalax galili (Upper Galilee mountains blind mole rat). RNAcentral's name for it is "Small nucleolar RNA SNORA8 (ENSNGAG00000004566.1)". It matches the Rfam family "Small nucleolar RNA SNORA8", at positions 26 to 139 of the family's 139-position model. Rfam says of the family: ACA8 is a member of the H/ACA class of snoRNA that guide the sites of modification of uridines to pseudouridines. The record is from Rfam by way of RNAcentral. Lineage: Eukaryota; Metazoa; Chordata; Mammalia; Rodentia; Spalacidae.
UGUGCUUCUUCCUGCUGGUGUGUUUAAAGAACAGUGCAAUAGAAAUUCACUAUCUGGCAUCAUUGGUUUUCUUGGCUUUGGUGUCUAUUAAACCUGGUAUUUCUAUUGAUACAGUU